Molecule: long non-coding RNA, 186 nt
Organism: Hibiscus syriacus
Lineage: Eukaryota; Viridiplantae; Streptophyta; Magnoliopsida; Malvales; Malvaceae
Exons: 3
Source: RefSeq, a predicted model, not a curated record
GAUGCAGAAAAUAGAAGUACAGAAAUCAAAGCUUUGGUGUCCUUCCUUAUCUGCAGUCAGCCACACAUUCUAAGGUAACAAGUAAACACAAUUUUUUUGUAUUUCCUGCUUCUAACAUUUACCGUAAUCUCAAUAGUCUCUUAUCUAGCACUUUAUUGCAAGGGAAAGAUAUUGCUCUAUACCAUA